Molecule: long non-coding RNA, 868 nt
Filed under: Homo sapiens (human)
Lineage: Eukaryota; Metazoa; Chordata; Mammalia; Primates; Hominidae
Description: non-protein coding FGF14-IT1:9
Source: RNAcentral
GGAAAGCCAGCUGCCAUCAGGUGGGGACACUAGAGGAGCCCCAGGGAGCUCCCAUAUGGCAAGGAACUGAGACCUGCUGCCAACACCCAGGACCAAUUUGCCAUCCAUGAGAGUGGGCCGUCUCGAAAGUGGGAGAAUGUGGUCAGUGUUUCAGCCAGUGCUUGCUGCUGAGGCAGGAGAGAAUAAUUGUGUAAAGAGGGGGCUCCCGCAGUGCAGGACAGGAAGCCACCAUGUGAGCACCACAUCCACGUGCAGGUCGCAGGCUUCAUCAUGUCCUGAAUACCAUGCCUUAGCAUUUUAUAUUUCAGGUUUCUACUUCUACAUCUCCAGCCCUGAAUACUCAUGGAAUAUCGCUGUACCUAUGACAGGUUGCAUGAUUUUUCCCCCUCUGUGCACUCAAUUUGUGUAUUAUUGUAUCAUAUGACAUUCUGAAUCAAGUGCUGCUAGUACCAAGCUGCUAUCAUCAGCUGAUGCCAAAAAUAUUCGUUAUAACACUUCUCAGCAUGCAAGUGAGAGCACUUCAAAUCACACAGACAGAAUUUCCAGCCAUUGUUCUUUUCUUCUUUGCUUAUUAUACAGCAACAAGAAUCAAAACAAAAGGGGAUUUAUUAGAAAAUAAUGCUUCAGUAAAAUGUUAUAAAACAUGAGGUUUAUUGUUUGUGAAGAUAGAGUGAAAUUCAGUACCACAUUAUAGAUACCACCUCAGAGGCCUAUUUUCCCCUUCUUUUCUCUUUUCUCAAAUGUUUUUCAAGUGGCAUCUUUUUUUCAGUCUUUGAUUACAUUAAGGUGCAAACUAUUUAUCCAUCUGGAAAUAAGCAAUACUGUCAACAGAGAACCAGGAAAUGAAAAGUGCAGCCGGCCAUAUGCC